This 451-nucleotide ribosomal RNA is filed under the name uncultured bacterium. Its description in RNAcentral is "partial 16S ribosomal RNA". It matches the Rfam family "Bacterial small subunit ribosomal RNA", at positions 354 to 796 of the family's 1533-position model. The record is from RNAcentral.
GUGGGGAAUAUUGGACAAUGGGGGGAACCCUGAUCCAGCCAUGCCGCGUGUGUGAAGAAGGCCUUUUGGUUGUAAAGCACUUUAAGCGAGGAGGAGGCUACCGAGAUUAAUACUCUUGGAUAGUGGACGUUACUCGCAGAAUAAGCACCGGCUAACUCUGUGCCAGCAGCCGCGGUAAUACAGAGGGUGCAAGCGUUAAUCGGAUUUACUGGGCGUAAAGCGCGCGUAGGUGGCCAAUUAAGUCAAAUGUGAAAUCCCCGAGCUUAACGUGGGAAUUGCAUUCGAUACUGGUUGGCUAGAGUAUGGGAGAGGAUGGUAGAAUUCCAGGUGUAGCGGUGAAAUGCGUAGAGAUCUGGAGGAAUACCGAUGGCGAAGGCAGCCAUCUGGCCUAAUACUGACACUGAGGUGCGAAAGCAUGGGGAGCAAACAGGAUUAGAAACCCUAGUAGUCC